Bufo bufo (common toad) is the source of this 505-nucleotide long non-coding RNA. RefSeq lists it as uncharacterized. The record is from RefSeq and is a predicted model, not a curated record. NCBI's taxonomy places the organism in Eukaryota, Metazoa, Chordata, Amphibia, Anura, Bufonidae. The transcript has 3 exons.
CCUCACAUCGUAUUGACAGACAUUUUCUAAUACAGCAAUGGUCUUGCCUGAUCACCAGGGCAGGUAUGGCUUUCUAGUCCUCAGAGUUUCGUGUCCACAAGAUGCCAUAUUUGUGUCUUUAUUCUGCGUACCAGUAUGCACUGGUUCUGCCGUACUCAACUUCUACACAACAUAACCAUUCUCACCAGUAGAUCAUACAGACAACACAUGAGUGAUUGUGCAGUUGGGGACUGAUUUCAUGGGAGCUGUGUAGUUCCAUUGCCACAUCUGAUUGGUGUGGGUAUUUGACCUCUGCUGACCAGAUAUUGAUGGUCUAUUCUGAGGAUAAUCCAUCAAUAUAGAAGUAUCGGGACAGUCCCUUUAAGUAUUUACUUGAUUUCUCUUGAGUCUUAUGAAUACUGUCUUCUCUAGUGUUGGGGACCAGUGACGUGUUCUGGGGCACAUGUGUUGGUGACAUGUCAUUCACCACUGGUCUCCACAAGAACAUGGAGCUCCAGCAUGUCAC